UACAGAGGUCCCAAGCGUUGUUCGGAUUCAUUGGGCGUAAGGGUGCGUAGGUGGCGCUGUAAGUCGGGUGUGAAAUUUCGGAGCUUAACUCCGAAACUGCAUUCGAUACUGCGGUGCUUGAGGACUGGAGAGGAGACUGGAAUUCAUGGUGUAGCAGUGAAAUGCGUAGAGAUCAUGAGGAAGACCAGUGGCGAAGGCGGGUCUCUGGACAGUUCCUGACACUGAGGCACGAAGGCCAGGGGAGCAAACGGG
RNAcentral lists this ribosomal RNA (252 nucleotides) under uncultured bacterium. RNAcentral's name for it is "partial 16S ribosomal RNA". It matches the Rfam family "Bacterial small subunit ribosomal RNA", at positions 524 to 776 of the family's 1533-position model. The record is from RNAcentral.